Molecule: ribosomal RNA, 294 nt
Filed under: uncultured bacterium
Lineage: Bacteria
Description: partial 16S ribosomal RNA
Rfam family: Bacterial small subunit ribosomal RNA
Source: RNAcentral
UUGUGCCUACGGGGGGCAGCAGUGGGGAAUAUUGCACAAUGGGGGAAACCCUGAUGCAGCGACGCCGCGUGAAGGAAGAAGUAUUUCGGUAUGUAAACUUCUAUCAGCAGGGAAGAAAAUGACGGUACCUGACUAAGAAGCCCCGGCUAACUACGUGCCAGCAGCCGCGGUAAUACGUAGGGGGCAAGCGUUAUCCGGAUUUACUGGGUGUAAAGGGAGCGUAGGCGGCGAUGCAAGUCAGAAGUGAAAGCCCGGGGCCCAACUCCGGGACUGCUUUUGAAACUGUGUGGCUAG